GUAGCGCAUGAUGGAGCCUGCAUAAUUUCUCACUGACUGUGUUUGCCUUGGUGUUGUCUGCUACUGAGUUUAAGGGUCACCUCUACUAUGUAUUGUGCUGGAUAGUUUACUAGUCCAGUAUGGAGUGGUGGAGAGCUGUGAGCAAGUGAACACUGACUCGGAAACUGCAGUUGUAAAUGUAACCUAUUCCAGUAAGGACCAAGCUAGACAAGCACUAGACAAACUGAAUGGAUUUCAGUUAGAGAAUUUCACCUUGAAAGUAGCCUAUAUCCCUGAUGAAAUGGCCGCCCAGCAAAACCCCUUGCAGCAGCCCCGAGGUCGCCGGGGGCUUGGGCAGAGGGGCUCAUCAAGGCAGGGGUCUCCAGGAUCUGUGUCCAAGCAGAAACCAUGUGAUUUGCCUCUGCGCCUGCUGGUUCCCACCCAGUUUGUUGGAGCCAUCAUAGGAAAAGAAGGUGCCACCAUUCGGAACAUCACCAAACAGACCCAGUCUAAAAUCGAUGUCCACCGUAAAGAAAAUGCAGGGGCUGCUGAGAAGUCGAUUACUAUCCUCUCUACUCCUGAAGG
This 564-nucleotide small RNA is filed under the name Pongo abelii (Sumatran orangutan). RNAcentral's name for it is "processed transcript". Lineage: Eukaryota; Metazoa; Chordata; Mammalia; Primates; Hominidae. The record is from RNAcentral.